Small nuclear RNA from Rattus norvegicus (Norway rat), 99 nucleotides. NCBI's taxonomy places the organism in Eukaryota, Metazoa, Chordata, Mammalia, Rodentia, Muridae. The record is from Ensembl.
CUUGCUUUGGCAACACAUAUACUAAUUGGGUUGAUGCAGAGAUUAGCAUAGUCCCUGUACAAGGGUAACACAAAUAUUCAUGAAGCAGUCCUUUUGUAA